UCUCCGUUGGUGAACCAGCGGAGGGAUCAUUACAGGAUCGAAAGACUCCUAUAACCCCUGUGAACUUACUACAAAUACGUUGCUUCGGCGGGUGCCCCGGGUCUCCCGGGGCGUUCAGCCCGCCGGCAGCCUUCAAAUUCUGUUUCUUUGCGUUGGCAUCUCGAGUGUACAAAAAUAAGUUAAAACUUUCAACAACGGAUCUCUUGGUUCUG
RNAcentral lists this unclassified non-coding RNA (212 nucleotides) under plant metagenome. RNAcentral's name for it is "partial contains small subunit ribosomal RNA, internal transcribed spacer 1, and 5.8S ribosomal RNA". The record is from RNAcentral.